RNAcentral lists this transfer RNA (72 nucleotides) under Candidatus Omnitrophota bacterium. Its description in RNAcentral is "tRNA-Thr". It matches the Rfam family "tRNA". From Rfam's summary of the family: Transfer RNA (tRNA) molecules are approximately 80 nucleotides in length. The record is from RNAcentral. Lineage: Bacteria; Pseudomonadati; Candidatus Omnitrophota.
GCCAGCGUAGUUCAGUGGUAGAACGCCAUCUUGGUAAGAUGGAAGUCGGGAGUCCGAUUCUCCCCGCUGGCU